ACGGGAAGAGAUGAAGAGCUUGCUCUUUAUCAAAUCCAGUGGCAAACGGGUGAGUAACACGUAAACAACCUGCCUUCAGGAUGGGGACAACAGACGGAAACGACUGCUAAUACCGAAUACGUUCCACGGGCCGCAUGACCUGUGGAAGAAAGGGUAGCCUCUACCUGUAAGCUAUCGCCUGAAGAGGGGUUUGCGUCUGAUUAGGCAGUUGGUGGGGUAACGGCCCACCAAACCAACGAUCAGUAGCCGGUCUGAGAGGAUGAACGGCCACACUGGAACUGAGACACGGUCCAGACUCCUACGGGAGGCAGCAGUGGGGAAUCUUCCGCAAUGGACGAAAGUCUGACGGAGCAACGCCGCGUGAGUGAAGACGGCCUUCGGGUUGUAAAGCUCUGUGAUCCGGGACGAAAGAGCCUUGGGUGAAUAGCCUAAGGAAGUGACGGUACCGGAAAAGCAAGCCACGGCUAACUACGUGCCAGCAGCCGCGGUAA
RNAcentral lists this ribosomal RNA (491 nucleotides) under uncultured Veillonellaceae bacterium. Its description in RNAcentral is "bacterial SSU rRNA". It matches the Rfam family "Bacterial small subunit ribosomal RNA", at positions 66 to 523 of the family's 1533-position model. The record is from RNAcentral. Lineage: Bacteria; Bacillati; Bacillota; Negativicutes; Veillonellales; Veillonellaceae.